RNAcentral lists this ribosomal RNA (468 nucleotides) under uncultured bacterium. Its description in RNAcentral is "partial 16S ribosomal RNA". It matches the Rfam family "Bacterial small subunit ribosomal RNA", at positions 28 to 507 of the family's 1533-position model. The record is from RNAcentral.
GACGAACGCUGGCGGCGUGCUUAACACAUGCAAGUCGAACGGAAAGGCCCUGCUUUUGUGGGGUGCUCGAGUGGCGAACGGGUGAGUAACACGUGAGUAACCUGCCCUUGACUUUGGGAUAACUUCAGGAAACUGGGGCUAAUACCGGAUAGGAGCUCCUGCUGCAUGGUGGGGGUUGGAAAGUUUCGGCGGUUGGGGAUGGACUCGCGGCUUAUCAGCUUGUUGGUGGGGUAGUGGCUUACCAAGGCUUUGACGGGUAGCCGGCCUGAGAGGGUGACCGGCCACCUUGGGACCUGGAUACGGCCCAGAACCCUACGGGGGGCAGCAGUGGGGGAUAUUGCACAAUGGGCGGAAGCCUUAUGGAGGAACGGCGCGGGCGGGAUGACGGCCUUCGGGUUGUAAACCGCUUUCGCCUGUGACGAAGCGUGAGUGACGGUAAUUGGUAAAGAAGCACCGGGUAACUACGUG